GGGACACGUGGUAUCCUGUCUGAAUAUGGGGGGACCAUCCUCCAAGGCUAAAUACUCCUGACUGACCGAUAGUGAACCAGUACCGUGAGGGAAAGGCGAAAAGAACCCCGGCGAGGGGAGUGAAAAAGAACCUGAAACCGUGUACGUACAAGCAGUGGGAGCACGCUUAGGCGUGUGACUGCGUACCUUUUGUAUAAUGGGUCAGCGACUUAUAUUCUGUAGCAAGGUUAACCGAAUAGGGGAGCCGAAGGGAAACCGAGUCUUAACUGGGCGUUAAGUUGCAGGGUAUAGACCCGAAACCCGGUGAUCUAGCCAUGGGCAGGUUGAAGGUUGGGUAACACUAACUGGAGGACCGAACCGACUAAUGUUGAAAAAUUAGCGGAUGACUUGUGGCUGGGGGUGAAAGGCCAAUCAAACCGGGAGAUAGCUGGUUCUCCCCGAAAGCUAUUUAGGUAGCGCCUCGUGAAUUCAUCUCCGGGGGUAGAGCACUGUUUCGGCAAGGGGGUCAUCCCGACUUACCAACCCGAUGCAAACUGCGAAUACCGGAGAAUGUUAUCACGGGAGACACACGGCGGGUGCUAACGUCCGUCGUGAAGAGGGAAACAACCCAGACCGCCAGCUAAGGUCCCAAAGUCAUGGUUAAGUGGGAAACGAUGUGGGAAGGCCCAGACAGCCAGGAUGUUGGCUUAGAAGCAGCCAUCAUUUAAAGAAAGCGUAAUAGCUCACUGGUCGAGUCGGCCUGCGCGGAAGAUGUAACGGGGCUAAACCAUGCACCGAAGCUGCGGCAGCGACGCUGAUGCGUUGUUGGGUAGGGGAGCGUUCUGUAAGCCUG
Molecule: ribosomal RNA, 832 nt
Filed under: Escherichia coli
Lineage: Bacteria; Pseudomonadati; Pseudomonadota; Gammaproteobacteria; Enterobacterales; Enterobacteriaceae
Description: partial 23S ribosomal RNA
Rfam family: Bacterial large subunit ribosomal RNA
Source: RNAcentral